CAGAAGCCGGGAUAGCU
RNAcentral lists this transfer RNA (17 nucleotides) under Sphagnum fimbriatum. RNAcentral's name for it is "partial tRNA-Phe". Lineage: Eukaryota; Viridiplantae; Streptophyta; Sphagnopsida; Sphagnales; Sphagnaceae. RNAcentral also lists the same sequence under 5 other names. The record is from RNAcentral.